This 74-nucleotide transfer RNA is filed under the name Camelus bactrianus (Bactrian camel). It matches the Rfam family "tRNA". Rfam says of the family: Transfer RNA (tRNA) molecules are approximately 80 nucleotides in length. Their secondary structure includes four short double-helical elements and three loops (D, anti-codon, and T loops). Lineage: Eukaryota; Metazoa; Chordata; Mammalia; Artiodactyla; Camelidae. The record is from Rfam by way of RNAcentral. RNAcentral also lists the same sequence under 2 other names.
AGAGGUGUAGCUCAAGCGGUUGGAGUGCAUGCUUAGCAUGUGUGAGGUUCAGGGUUCAAUCCCCAGUACCUCCU